This 984-nucleotide long non-coding RNA is filed under the name Pollicipes pollicipes. Its description in RNAcentral is "uncharacterized LOC119090588, transcript variant X1". The record is from RNAcentral. Lineage: Eukaryota; Metazoa; Arthropoda; Thecostraca; Pollicipedomorpha; Pollicipedidae.
GGUGAGGCGGCGACGCAAGCGGUGAGGUUCACGAGCGGCAGUUGUGGUGACGGGUCGGCGAGGGUCGCAAGACGUGGAGCCCCACUGCGCUGUGACGAGACGCCAUGGAGGGCUCCUAUACUCAGAAGGGGUCCCUGCACGGGCAAGCGCACACAACGCCACCUGUUGUCAAUGAGCAGCCUGCCAGCUUAGCAAAAAUGUCGACAGAUGGAUCAGCAGGGCCCGGAACUGCGUUAGCGAACGAGGAUGAGGAUUCGUGCUGCGCGUGGUGUUGCUCUGGCGGCGGCGGUAGAAGCAAGCACACAUAUCACUACACCAGCAGUGGCGCAUCCGACACUCAUCUAGGGGGUGAUUAUGGUGACAGUGGUGGUGGAGGAUGGUUCAGUGGAGGCGGCGGGUGCGACAGCGGAGGUGGUGGUGGAGAUGGUGGAGGCGGCGGGUGCGACAGUGGAGGUGGUGGUGGAGAUGGUGGAGGCGGCGGUGGGUGCGAUUGAUCAGGCCAUACCAGGCUGUUCCGGUCGCCAAGGCCAGCCCGGCAGUCCGAUCAGGAGAAGCAGCCUUCACCGCCGAGACCGCACGGCCCGAGGCUGACGUCACCUGGCCAGCUGGGCUCAGCCCCGAUGGUCAGACCGCCCGGUCGGCGCGGCACCGCACCGUCAAGUCGGGAACACCAGCUGGCAGCUGGAGCCGUUCUAUAUUCCCCUGCUAGCCUGAGCAGUGCGAAUCAGACUGACACACCAGGCCAAAACUUUACCUGGAGAGAUGUUCCUGUCACUGUGACUGUCUUCUUUGUCGUGUAAGUUUUAGCCCUUUGGCACUCGGGUAAAAAAGAAGCUUGUUUGCUGCAGCCACCAGCAAUGUGACAUAUGAGGUGAAGUGAAAGUGAAGGAUCCAGUGUAAGUGUCUGUGCUAAUUAGGCAUUGCAUGAUGAGCUGGAUAGGUUCUGCAGCCGCACAGUAGUUUUAAUAUAUGUGUCAUUCACAC